AGCUUUGCGCAGUGGCAGUAUCAUAGCCAAUGAGGUCAAACCGAGGCGUGAUUAUUGCUAAUUGAAAACUUUUCCAAUAUCCCCGCGUGAUGACUUGAAAUAUAGUCAGCACUGGCAAUUUUUGACAGUCUCUCAGGAGA
RNAcentral lists this small nuclear RNA (140 nucleotides) under Xenopus tropicalis (tropical clawed frog). RNAcentral describes it as "U4 spliceosomal RNA (ENSXETG00000046742.1)". It matches the Rfam family "U4 spliceosomal RNA". From Rfam's summary of the family: U4 small nuclear RNA (U4 snRNA) is a component of the major U2-dependent spliceosome. The structure of U4 snRNA from yeast and human has been reported. U4 snRNA presents a k-turn RNA motif in the 5p-SL related to recognition of Snu13 protein. Lineage: Eukaryota; Metazoa; Chordata; Amphibia; Anura; Pipidae. The record is from Rfam by way of RNAcentral.